GGGCCCGCACAAGCGGUGGAGCAUGUGGUUUAAUUCGAAGCAACGCGAAGAACCUUACCAGGUCUUGACAUCCCACUGACCGGCUUAGAGAUAGGCUUUUCCCUUCGGGGACAGUGGUGACAGGUGGUGCAUGGUUGUCGUCAGCUCGUGUCGUGAGAUGUUGGGUUAAGUCCCGCAACGAGCGCAACCCUUGAUCUUAGUUGCCAGCAUUCAGUUGGGCACUCUAAGGUGACUGCCGGUGAUAAACCGGAGGAAGGUGGGGAUGACGUCAAAUCAUCAUGCCCCUUAUGACCUGGGCUACACACGUGCUACAAUGGAUGGUACAAAGAGCUGCAAACUCGCGAGGGUAAGCGAAUCUCAUAAAGCCAUUCUCAGUUCGGAUUGUAGGCUGCAACUCGCCUACAUGAAGCCGGAAUCGCUAGUAAUCGUAGAUCAGCAUGCUACGGUGAAUACGUUCCCGGGCCUUGUACACACCGCCCGUCACACCACGAAAGUUUGUAACACCCAAAGUCGGUGAGGUAACCGCAAGGAGCCAGCCGCUCUAAGGUGGGAUAGAUGAUUGGGGUGA
This 568-nucleotide ribosomal RNA is filed under the name uncultured bacterium. Its description in RNAcentral is "bacterial SSU rRNA". It matches the Rfam family "Bacterial small subunit ribosomal RNA", at positions 917 to 1483 of the family's 1533-position model. The record is from RNAcentral.